This is a long non-coding RNA of Austrofundulus limnaeus, 492 nucleotides long. RefSeq lists it as uncharacterized. NCBI's taxonomy places the organism in Eukaryota, Metazoa, Chordata, Actinopteri, Cyprinodontiformes, Rivulidae. The record is from RefSeq and is a predicted model, not a curated record. The transcript is spliced from 3 exons.
CCCGUCUCCUCUGCCUUUUUUGACUUCCAGCUCCCCCUCCUCCUACAACUGGGUGGAGAAAAGUCACCUCCCUCUGCUCCACCAAAAAUGCAAAUCCCAUUAAGAUAAGGGAGAAGUGGCUGGACCUGUGAGAAAAAAACUCCAGAGAAAAGCCCACAUAAGCACAAGGAAAACUCCACUCUGGGACCACAGAUCUGCAGGGAUUGAACCCAGCUACACAGCGGUACACAGUCGGGCCUCUGCAGUCAGAAGAUCUUGGUGCCUUAUCAGAAAAGCAAAACAAAAACCCAAGCUGUACCAGGCUGAUGUAAACAGAGCUGCCAACUCAAUAACUAGCAAAAACCUUCUGCCCAUUAAAAAUGACGAGUCAACCUUGUAUCGAUCUGUCGUGGUGAAGCGGGAGAUGAGCCAGAAGGCAGAAAUCUCGGUUUACCGGUCUGUCUACGUUCCUACCCUCAUCUAUGGUCACGAGCUUUGGGUAGUGACCGAAAG